Molecule: long non-coding RNA, 5787 nt
Filed under: Marmota monax (woodchuck)
Lineage: Eukaryota; Metazoa; Chordata; Mammalia; Rodentia; Sciuridae
Source: RNAcentral
GCCAACUACCUUUUUUAGAAACAUGCCGUGCUACCUUUGUUCUGACGUUUGUGUCUGCUUCUUAUGGGAACAGAAUUAGUUUCACAAUGGUAAUUGCAGAGAAAACGAUAUGAUGUUUGAUUCUUAUGAGUCAUGAAGAAACAGAAAAUCUGGGUUAAUUCAAAUGAGUAAGAUGGAAUCUGUAUUUUAAAAUUCUAGAUUGAUGAUAAAUCUGGGACAGGAGUGCUUCAAUCUGAGUUUUAUCAAACAUUUAAAAAAUAAUACUAAUUCUCUCAUACAUUCAAAAAUAAUAAUAAAGCACAAAGAAUUGUUCCAAACUCAUUUCGCAGAAAUACUGUAUCCUGAAUCAAAAGCUUGACAAGGACACUAUGGGGAAAGAAAAUUCCUGCCCAAUAUCUCUGAAGGACAUUGUUGCCAGCAACCUGAAAAUUCAUAGCAAGCAGAAUCUAACAGCACAGUAAAAAGAUCAUUCACCCUGAUGGACUGGGAUUUACACCUGGGAUGAAGGAUGGGUCAGCACACACAAAUGAGUAAGUGGGAUGCUCACAUGAGCAGAAUGAAAGGUGAAGACCAGUGAUCCUCUCCAUGAAUGCAGAAACAGCAUCCACAAUUGAUGGGAAAUAGCAUCAAUCAUGAUAAAAACUUUCAAGCAAUUAGGCAUGGAAGGAAUGUACCCAGACAUAGUGAAGACCAUGAGUGACAAGCCCCCCCCAACAUCAUACUCAAUAUGACAGGCCAAAGCCUUUUCCUCUAACGAGCACAUACUUCUCUCUUCUGUUCAGCUUUGGACUGGAAGUCCUAGCCACAGCAAAUAGCAGGAAAAAGAAAUGAUUAAUAUUGUAAUGAUGCACAUACUACUGAAAUUGAACCAUGGAUUCAGUGAAAUUCCAAUGAAAAUUCUAACAGCAGUUUUCACAGAGUUGGAAAAACCAGUCCUCAAAGUCACAUGGAAUAUAUAUCAAAAUACUGUUGAGCUGCAAAAAUGGUUGGGGUCAUCACACUUGGUGAUUUCAAAUAUUAUCAAAGGGCUAUAGUAAUCUAAUUGGCACAUUAGUGGCAUAAAAAUAAUAUCAUUAAUCACUGAAAGAGAAUGAGGAUCCUGAAGUUAACCCAAACACAUACAGUGACCUAACCUUUGACAGGGCAUCGAAAAUUCGCAAUGAUGAAACGAUGGCUCUGCAAUUGCCCAUGAAGGGAACUCUGGAUCUUCAUAUGCAAAAAAGGAUGUUGGGCCUUUUCCUAUCACCAUACAAAGACAUCCCUUCAAAUAGAAUUAAGGAUGUACAGGUAAGAUUGUCUCCAUAUAAUUUCUUGGAUAAAAUCUUAACAAAAAACUCUUUGACUUAUUUUUUUUUGGAUAUACCACAAAAUUAUGGAUGACAGAAAAAUAAACAAGUAGGACAAUUUCAAACUAAAGAGUUACUGAAUGACAAGAAAAGAAUAAAUUGAAAAGGAAGCAGAAUCAGAGAAGGUUUCACAAAUACUGUAUCAGAUGCUGGGGGCACAUCCAUCAUGCAACUCAAGAACUAAAGAAAACACGUGUCAUGAAUAGACAGUUAUUCUAAACGAGUUCUUUCGAUGGCCAAAGGCAAAUGAAGUGGUGCUCUACCUCACAGACCAUGAGAGAAACGAAAGUCAAAAUCACCAUGAGAUGUAACUUCAUCAAAUGGCCAUUAUGAUAAAGCAAGAGGAACAAGCAGCAGUGGAGACGGGAAUUAAAGCAGACUCCUGGACACUGCUGGUGGGAGUUCAGUGGAACAACCUUGAUGGAAAUUGGGUGGAGUUGGCUCAAAACUUUGCAACUCCAUCAACCAUGUGCCCUGGCAAUCCCGCCUCAACACACACAGAGGAAUUGACAUCAGUCUCUCAAAGGUGUCUGCCUCCUGUGUUCACUGCACCAUGUUCAUAAAACCAAGAUAUAGAUACAACCUGCGUGUCCACCAAUGAACACGAGGAUGCAAUGAUUGUGUUGUAUGGAUGGAUACAUGACACACACACACACACACACACAUACACUCAAUGAAAUAGUAUUCCUUCACGAGCAGGAAGAAAUGCUCUCAAUUAUAACAAGAUGGAUGAACCUGGAACAUACUGUAUUACUAAGACCAGACAAAAAAGGAAAUAUUCUAUGAUCUCACCUGUAUGAGACCCCUGAAAAUGUUGCACUUAGAGAAAGGGAAAGAGUGAGAGGUGGAUGCCAGGAGCUUGAAGCAGGAAACUAUGGACAUGUUAUUGACAGGUACAAACUUUCAUGCACUUGAGGAAAAUGUUCAGCGUAUCCAAGGUAAUGUUUGAUGAGAAGAUGGUAUUAAGGUCUGGUGUACUUAUGGUUGGCUGAAAAGUGAUCUAAAAUACUCUCAACUCACAAAAACACAUACUGAUUGGUCAACCAUGUUGAUUUUGGGGGUCAUUUCAGAGCACACAGCAGAUGAAUAAUUCUUUACCUAAGUAUUUAUUGGAAAUAUUUUAAUUAGACCUCAAUAAAGUUAAAAUAAAUCUGUAAAAUUAAAAUGAAUAAAACAGAUUAAACUGAAGGCAGAUUGCAAGACUGUAAAAUACCACAUCCCACGUGUGUACUAAUAGAGUCACACUGUACAUACAAAAGCACAUGGGUCAAAAGCAACAGCAUGGACAAGUCUUGGGCACGAGCUCCUCAGCAGAUCCCGGACGGUCCCAGUCAGAGCAGAUGAACUGGCCUUGCAGCACCAGCACACGAGCUGAGUAACACCCACCCAGUGAAGGACAUAUGGGGACUUCCAAGGAACAAUGAUGAUCACAAACUGCACUCGGACUUACCUAAAGGUGUUGCCCUCCAUAUGUUGGGAAAUGUGCUUUAGGGGACAGAACCCCUGGGUAUAAAAAGCCCACUGCAUUGAAAUGCACCCCUUAAAUGGCUGUCCUCAAAUACACAAGGCGUCAAUAUUUAUGGUGUAAACACACACAUCCUUAGUGGACCACAGUGGGCGGAACACACCAGGUCAGGACACAACAAACCCACAGGUCAAUUCACAUUCCACCUAACUGCUAUAAAAGCACCACCCCCACAGUCACUGUGAGAUCCCAGCUUUCUCCCCAGGCACUUGAGAAGCAGGGGGGAAAUGCACCCAGCAGCCAGCCCUGAAGUGAGGGCCACAAGUGCAAGGGCUCAUGUGACAUGGCAAUUCAUCUGGAGUCACAAAAGAGAAACAGGAAAACCCUGAUCUUCAGUAUGUUCAAAACACAAAGCACCUUUUACUUACCACCUGGUGACUCAAACUAUUAUGCAAAGCACUGUGGAUGUGCCUUCCGGAAGUAAACGUGAAGACUGGAUGAGAGCCCAUGGAAGAAUGAUGGCAUUAGAACAGGAAGAGCAGAAGGAGCCCUAGAAAAGGAGGGAGAGAGAAUUUCUGUGAAGGCAGCAGAAAAAUAUCAAACAACCUCAAUAGAAAGGAAAAGCAAAGGCAAACACAGUUCCUUGGACAGACUGCUGCAUUUAUCCCCUCCUGUGAGACUGUCCCACUGCCCCAUGUGAAGGCGCCACAGUGUCAGGUGCACAGUGUGAGAAAGAGACACUGAGAAACCGCACACGUGUGUGAAAAGGUGAUGUUGGGAUGGACUAUGUCAGUGAAUUCAGAGGUAUGAGACUUGAGAAAACCCUAGGAGACUCGACUUACCAUAGAUUUCAGACCCGCAGGCAGCACAGUGCAGUGCUCCCCAGCAUGACAUCGAAUAUUGGGAAAAAGGGCUUCCUAAGGAUUCCCAAGGAAUGCUUCAACAGCGAAGGAUGCCAACCACCAGAUGCAGAAACAUCUGCAAACACUUCCUAAGGGCAGGAAAGUGGAUUCUCUUAAUCACACGGUGAGGGCCGCAUAGCCUUCAUAACAGAAGGAAAUGUAGUUGAAACAUUGAUGACAAGAGUGUGUCCUUCCACUUCCAGAUGAAAAGCAAUCUGCACAAAAUCAUGGCUGACAGGAAUCCCACACUGUGCAAAAGGAUUCCAGCAAAUGAGCAAGUGAGUUGCCCAUAAGUGCAAGGAGGCUCAGCGUUAGAAAGGUCAGCUGUGUGACCACCCCCAGGAGUAGACUCAAGGAGAAAUCUCCUCAUCAACCUCAAUAGACACAGAAAAUCAUGGGAUUAAAUGCCACACAUAUAAAGUUAAAAGUUUUAGAGAUAAAAAUAAAAAGGAUUUGUUUCUGUGAAAAAAUAUCAAUAAUAUCAACAAUACCCUGUUUGGGGUUAAAUGUGGAAAGCUUCCCUCUCAUAUCAGAUACCAGUGCAGAUAACUUCUCUCUCUGCUUUUGCCCCUUAUGACAGUAGAGGGCUUUAUUGUAAAUACAGAAGGAAUAAUCUAUAAUCACUGGGAAAAAGUCAAUAUUUUGUUUCUUCAUACAUGCAUCAAAUUCUGUGGACAAAAUUCUGAAAACAAAGUACUAAAUUAUAUAAAUCAUUUGAGAGAUGAUGAAGUCUGUUGGGAACAGCUCAGUAUAAAAAUCACUUGAGGUCUGUAUUCCACCAUAAAACUAUGAUUCAAACACCAUUCAAGAAUCACACAGUUAAGUUGCAUCAAAUAAAAUGAACCUCCAAAUUAUUACAUGAUAAACUUAGGCUAUAAAUUUUAUAAAUAAAUUUAUAAAUAAAAAUGGGCAUAUCAUGAGAGGAAGGACAUUCAGGGGGAAACCAGACAUCAAAUGCAGUCCUUACCGGGCAUGGACUGGGCAAGGGGAAUAGAGCCCCAGGUUCCCCUCCUCUCUCUCCAGGCCCAGGGCUGCAGGGCCCUGCUCCAGGCAGUCGGCCUCCCUGACACGGUGAGGAGUCUUGGAAAGGCUGCGCCUGGCCCUGUAUUUCAGGGGCAGAAUGACAGGACCUCUCCUCCCAGGGCACAUCACUCACCUGUCCCCUGUUGCCCCAAGGACCUUGUUUACUGUGCCUCAUUUUGAAGCCAAGGAGGAGCAACGGGUCCUCUCCCAGGGGCACGGGGGAUCUCCUGGUGGACUGCCAGGUGGAGUGAGUGCAGUUACUACCUGAGAACGUGGUUUUCCCAAGAUGAAUCCAGAAAGUGAACUUCAGCAUCCAGGAAGUCAUUAAAGACUAGUUUCCACACAACUGGUGGAAAUGACCACAAGCCUGGAUCCAAGCUGACCCUGAGCAGGACCCUGAGAUCAUGCUGGCUGCUCCACAGGAGGCCACUGUGUCUCCUCCGCCCACCAUGGGUUUUACCUUCCUUCAGGCUCCAUGCAGCACAGGCUGGUGCAGGGCACAGGGUGAACUGCCACCACAGCACAGGGAGCAGCCAUGUGUGGAGCACGCGUGGCCUGUGUGGACCUGUCUCUCCUUUCAGAAUUGUGGAGACGUGGGAAGUGCUCCAGAACUGAGCUCUGAAAUGUUUCCCAUGCAACCUGUGAUAGAAGCUCAAUAAAUGUAGUUAAGGCACAUUCCUAACGUGAUGAAUUGUGAAAUAAAGUCAGUGACUCUCAACACCUAAAAUACAUGCUCCCAAGACUAAUGAAAUGUCAGUUCUCCUAAGGCCCCAAAUCCCCGCAUUGCCCAUAUAUCCUUCACCUUCUAAAACCUGUGCAGAUUUAAAUUUACCAGUACAAUCUUAGGGUUGUUAUGGUCUUGUGCUUUUGCAGAAGGCAUAUGCUGCAUGAAUUGUUCUCAAGUUGACAUUUUUAUCUUCUAGAGGGAUUUUCUAUUUUCUGGAGCUUAAACUUGAAGUUGCUGGUUACUUUUUUUCCUGCUGCCCUGCAUUCCUUCUAUGAGUAUGCUAGAAAAAACAUUAAUUCUAUGUAGAAAAUACCUAGCAUGAAA